CGCGCGCGGCGGUUGGCGGUGACCCGUUGGGGCCUGGUGGAGGUGCCGAGCCUGGGGACGCGUGACUGUGGACAGGAGGCUGGGAGGGGUUAACUGGAGGAAGCCUCCCCCGGGCGGCUGGUGGCCCGCAGCUGGGAGACGUGGCACUUUGACUCGAUUCUCCCUCUGCCCAGUCCUGCUUCUCCUUCCACUGGCAUUGGUUCCAGAAGCACUUCCUUAUAUGCUGAUCUAUCUCAAAGUCUGCUUCCCAGAAAACCCAGCCUGUAACAAAGAUAAUGAGUAAGCUUCCCUGAGAAGACGCCCAUGUGCUAAGAAACUGAGGGUGGACACCUACCAACAGCCAACAAGAAAGCAAGACCCUCAGUCUAAGAACCAGGAAGAACUGAAUCCUGCCAACCACCACAUGAGUUUGGAAACAGAUCCUUCUCUGGUUGAGCAUCAGAUGAGACCCCAGUGCUGGCCAACACCUUCUGAGAGACCCUAGUGCAGAGCAGCCAGUUAAGCUGUGUCCAUAUUCCUGACCCACAGAGACUGUGAGAUAAUAAAUGUGUAUCUUUUCUGUCUGCUAAA
Diceros bicornis minor is the source of this 570-nucleotide long non-coding RNA. RefSeq lists it as uncharacterized. The transcript has 3 exons. NCBI's taxonomy places the organism in Eukaryota, Metazoa, Chordata, Mammalia, Perissodactyla, Rhinocerotidae. The record is from RefSeq and is a predicted model, not a curated record.